This is a long non-coding RNA of Ornithodoros turicata, 1539 nucleotides long. RefSeq lists it as uncharacterized. The transcript is spliced from 3 exons. Lineage: Eukaryota; Metazoa; Arthropoda; Arachnida; Ixodida; Argasidae. The record is from RefSeq and is a predicted model, not a curated record.
UAAGGACGUGUGGCGACGCCUGCGGGCCACGUUUCUUUUUCUUUCUCCUUUUCCAAACUAUGAUGUGUUUACUAAAAAAAGCUCUGUGCCUGGUGAAAAUGCAGUAGGCGUAGGCUGUGAUUCUUUGCGCGUGAACAGCUCACAACUGUCAAGGCAUACUGUCACCGUAACAUCCUGUGCCUGUGUGCAAAAAGGGUUGGAAGAGAGUGGGAACAGACGUGAUCUCGUGCUCAGACUCGACGGCGCGUUCCUGACCGACGGCGAACUCUGCCAUGAAGGUGCUAUUUAGUUAUGGUGGGCGAAAAGCGGUAGUGUCAGGGGGGAGCUGACAUCACCACAGUGGAAGACACAAUUGGUGCCGCUGCCGCGCUACUGAGCAUACCAGAGGAAGAACUAAAGAAGAGACCAACGACAGUCAUGCAUACUGCAUGCAACGAAUCUAUAGCAGUGAAGAUUAUAACACGUUACGGCGAAAGAACGGCGGUGGUGUCCUGCGAUGGCAACUCAACGGUACUCCGCCUAAGGGAAGAUGAACUAAUGUGCUAGCACCUCACAAUCUACGACGACGACGACUUUGACACCUGUGUGGAAACAGCAGAAGCUGGUAGUUUUCGUGGCUGUAUAGCUCCCACCGUGGUUCUCUUUACUACGAACUUGCCAUUUGUACGCCUUCGUGACACUUUUUGUUCGUUCAGAUUAGGGAAGAAUGCAAUGCGCUCACAGGGACUGUCUUUGAAACUGCCUUGGACAGAGUUCUGCAGGACAUUUCGGAAGCGGCUUUGAGGUACAGUCGAAAGAAGCGCCAACUGGAAGCGUUCUUUGAAGCCUUUAGAGUCUGAACAUGGUGACGGUAAGAUGAUUUGUCCUCCGAGAGUCGAGAUAGUCUACAGGUAGUUCGGACGUUUCACGGCUUUGUGGCUUCCAUAGCGCAUAUGCAUUGCGACACAUGCAGGGUGUUUCUGUUUAAUUCUUGUGUAAUAUCGGGUGAAUAUUCAUAUUGUGAUUAUAUAUAUGUGCAGCAAUGAUAGUCACACUCCUUGUGGUCCUCAGUCUGGCACAUGAAAGGUCCUUCAUCACGCCCCAGGUGGGUUCUUAUUGUACAUAGCAAAAGGUUUUGUUAUGUAUCUAUGGAAACGAGCUUUGCAUUUUUCGUACUUUAUUACUGGUGUCUCCAGAGAAGAUAACGUCCUGCUGAAAAUACUUGGGAGAUUUUGUCUAUGUAUUCUGGUAACUUUCUACGUAAAGAAUGAACAUGUCUGUCAUCUGGUGUGUUUUCCCGGGAAGUAUUCCAUCCGGAGCGAACGCUGUUAUACCUGGAGAAAGAGACCCUUAGGGUGUCCAGCUUGAAGGAGCCUGUGAGGACCCUCGUCGUGCUUUACUGGUUAUGGACAUAGAAUUGAUGCCCAAGUCCCCUUCUACACUGCAAGUGCUCUACAAAUUAAUGAAUGUACCCCUCGCAUUGGUGAGCCCAUGUGAUAAAGCUGUUGUGUCUUGAUUGGAAUAGAUUGUGCAAAAUAAAGAUUUGUAAUUUGUAACAGC